ACUCCUACGGGAGGCAGCAGUGGGGAAUAUUGCACAAUGGGCGCAAGCCUGAUGCAGCCAUGCCGCGUGUAUGAAGAAGGCCUUCGGGUUGUAAAGUACUUUCAGCAGUGAGGAAGGUGGAUAUGUUAAUAGCAUACUCAUUUGACGUUUAGCUGCAGAAGAAGCACCGGCUAACUCCGUGCCAGCAGCCGCGGUAAUACGGAGGGUGCGAGCGUUAAUCGGAAUUACUGGGCGUAAAGCGCAUGCAGGUGGUUUGUUAAGUCAGAUGUGAAAGCCCGGGGCUCAACCUCGGAAUUGCAUUUGAAACUGGCAAACUAGAGUACUGUAGAGGGGGUAGAAUUUCAGGUGUAGCGGUGAAAUGCGUAGAGAUCUGAAGGAAUACCGGUGGCGAAGGCGGCCCCCUGGACAGAUACUGACACUCAGAUGCGAAAGCGUGGGGAGCAAACAGGAUUAGAUACCCUGGUAGGAUAGCG
Molecule: ribosomal RNA, 473 nt
Filed under: uncultured bacterium
Lineage: Bacteria
Description: bacterial SSU rRNA
Rfam family: Bacterial small subunit ribosomal RNA
Source: RNAcentral